AUUGAACGCUGGCGGCAUGCUUUACACAUGCAAGUCGAACGGUAACAGGGAAAAGCUUGCCUUUCUGCUGACGAGUGGCGAACGGGUGAGUAACACAUCGGAACGUGCCCUGUAGUGGGGGAUAACUACUCGAAAGAGUGGCUAAUACCGCAUACAACCUGAGGGUAAACGUGGGGGACCGCAAGGCCUCACGCUAUAGGAGCGACCGAUGGAAGAUUAGGUAGUUGGUAGGGUAAAGGCCUACCAAGCCGACGAUCUUUAGCGGGUCUGAGAGGACGAUCCGCCACACUGGGACUGAGACACGGCCCAGACUCCUACGGGAGGCAGCAGUGGGGAAUUUUGGACAAUGGGGCAACCCUGAUCCAGCAAUGCCGCGUGAGUGAAGAAGGCCUUCGGGUUGUAAAGCUCUUUUGUUUGGGAAGAAAUCCCUAAGGAUAAUACCCUUGGGGGAUGACGGUACCAAAAGAAUAAGCACCGGCUAACUACGUGCCAGCCGCCGCAGUAA
This 505-nucleotide ribosomal RNA is filed under the name uncultured bacterium. Its description in RNAcentral is "partial 16S ribosomal RNA". It matches the Rfam family "Bacterial small subunit ribosomal RNA", at positions 30 to 523 of the family's 1533-position model. The record is from RNAcentral.